Molecule: ribosomal RNA, 468 nt
Filed under: uncultured bacterium
Lineage: Bacteria
Description: partial 16S ribosomal RNA
Rfam family: Bacterial small subunit ribosomal RNA
Source: RNAcentral
GACGAACGCUGGCGGCGUGCUUAACACAUGCAAGUCGAACGGAAAGGCCCUGCUUUUGUGGGGUGCUCGAGUGGCGAACGGGUGAGUAACACGUGAGUAACCUGCCCUUGACUUUGGGAUAACUUCAGGAAACUGGGGCUAAUACCGGAUAGGAGCUCCUGCUGCAUGGUGGGGGUUGGAAAGUUUCGGCGGUUGGGGAUGGACUCGCGGCUUAUCAGCUUGUUGGUGGGGUAGUGGCUUACCAAGGCUUUGACGGGUAGCCGGCCUGAGAGGGUGACCGGCCACAUUGGGACUGAGAUACGGCCCAGACUCCUACGGGAGGCAGCGGUGGGGAAUAUUGCACAAUGGGCGGAAGCCUGAUGCAGCAAUGCCGCGUGCGGGAUGACGGCCUUCGGGUUGUAAACCGCUUUCGCCUGUGACGAAGCGUGAGUGACGGUAAUGGGUAAAGAAGCACCGGCUAACUACGUG